GACGAACGCUGGCGGCGUGCCUAAUACAUGCAAGUAGGACGCAGUUGCGAACGUGUGAGUAACGCGUAGGUAACUACCUAUUAGAGGGGGAUAACUAUUGGAAACGAUAGCUAAUACCGCAUACUAGUAGAUGGACCUGCGUUGUAUUAGCUAGUAGGUAGGGUAAUGGCCUACCUAGGCAACGAUACAUAGCCGACCUUGGAAGGUGAGCGGGCAAACUGGGAACGGGGCCAGGCCCAGACUCCUACGGGAGGCAACCGGAGGGAAUCUUCGGAAAAGGGGGGAAACCUGACCGAGCAAAGCCGGGUGAGUGAAGAAGGUUUUCGGAUCGUAAAGCUCUGUUGUUAAGGAAGCGGUACUUAACCAGAAAGGGACGGCUAACUACGUGCCAGCAGCCGCGGUAAUUC
RNAcentral lists this ribosomal RNA (407 nucleotides) under uncultured bacterium. RNAcentral describes it as "partial 16S ribosomal RNA". It matches the Rfam family "Bacterial small subunit ribosomal RNA", at positions 28 to 526 of the family's 1533-position model. The record is from RNAcentral.